This 361-nucleotide unclassified non-coding RNA is filed under the name soil metagenome. RNAcentral's name for it is "partial contains 5.8S ribosomal RNA, internal transcribed spacer 2, and large subunit ribosomal RNA". The stretch from base 1 to 120 matches the Rfam family "5.8S ribosomal RNA", at positions 35 to 154 of the family's 154-position model. The record is from RNAcentral.
GAUGAAGAACGUAGCGAAAUGCGAUAAGUAAUGUGAAUUGCAGAAUUCAGUGAAUCAUCGAAUCUUUGAACGCACAUUGCGCCCGCCAGCAUUCUGGCGGGCAUGCCUGUUCGAGCGUCAUUUCAACCCUCGCAGCCCAUCUGGGCAGCGGUGUUGGGGACCGGCACCACCGGCGAAGCCCUUAGGGGCCCAGCCGGCGCCGCCCCCGAAAUACAGUGGCGGUCUCGCUGCAGCCUCCCUUGCGUAGUAGCACACCUCGCACCGGAGCGCAGCGCGGCCACGCCGUAAAACCCCCGACUUUCUGAGUUUGACCUCGAAUCAGGUAGGAAUACCCGCUGAACUUAAGCAUAUCAAUGGAGGA